CCAUGCCAGGCAACAGAGGGUCACAGAACC
RNAcentral lists this non-coding RNA (30 nucleotides) under Homo sapiens (human). The record is from RNAcentral. Lineage: Eukaryota; Metazoa; Chordata; Mammalia; Primates; Hominidae.